Molecule: ribosomal RNA, 484 nt
Filed under: uncultured bacterium
Lineage: Bacteria
Description: partial 16S ribosomal RNA
Rfam family: Bacterial small subunit ribosomal RNA
Source: RNAcentral
AUUGAACGCUGGCGGCAGGCCUAACACAUGCAAGUCGAGCGGAUGAAGGGAGCUUGCUCCUGGAUUCAGCGGCGGACGGGUGAGUAAUGCCUAGGAAUCUGCCUGGUAGUGGGGGAUAACGUCCGGAAACGGGCGCUAAUACCGCAUACGUCCUGAGGGAGAAAGUGGGGGAUCUUCGGACCUCACGCUAUCAGAUGAGCCUAGGUCGGAUUAGCUAGUUGGUGGGGUAAAGGCCUACCAAGGCGACGAUCCGUAACUGGUCUGAGAGGAUGAUCAGUCACACUGGAACUGAGACACGGUCCAGACUCCUACGGGAGGCAGCAGUGGGGAAUAUUGGACAAUGGGCGAAAGCCUGAUCCAGCCAUGCCGCGUGUGUGAAGAUGGUCUUCGGAUUGUAAAGCACUUUAAGUUGGGAGGAAGGGCAGUAAGUUAAUACCUUGCUGUUUUGACGGUACCAACAGAAUAAGCACCGGCUAACUUCGUG